GGAGGAGUGUCAGAGCCAGGUUUAUUGUGCCGACCUUAAAAAUCGGUGUAGGUUUCAGGGAUGUGCCUACCGUGGGUUCAAAUCCCACCUCCUCCA
Molecule: transfer RNA, 96 nt
Filed under: Gammaproteobacteria bacterium
Lineage: Bacteria; Pseudomonadati; Pseudomonadota; Gammaproteobacteria
Description: tRNA-Leu
Rfam family: tRNA
About the family: Transfer RNA (tRNA) molecules are approximately 80 nucleotides in length. Their secondary structure includes four short double-helical elements and three loops (D, anti-codon, and T loops). Further hydrogen bonds mediate the characteristic L-shaped molecular structure. tRNAs have two regions of fundamental functional importance: the anti-codon, which is responsible for specific mRNA codon recognition, and the 3' end, to which the tRNAs corresponding amino acid is attached (by aminoacyl-tRNA synthetases). tRNAs cope with the degeneracy of the genetic code in two manners: having more than one tRNA (with a specific anti-codon) for a particular amino acid; and 'wobble' base-pairing, i.e. permitting non-standard base-pairing at the 3rd anti-codon position.
Source: RNAcentral